GGCACAAUACAACCUGCAGAUGAAAAGACCGUAUACUUAAAAAGCGUUGACACCAUCCCCCAACCUCAAGAGCAUGCUGAGGAUCUUCAGGGAACUCCAGCUUGAUCUGGGCAGCUGCCAGGGUUGGCAUCUAUCUGAAGAUUCUGUUCUCCUCCUGCCCAUCAUGUCAAGGUACCAUGCAGGCUGCCUGAAUGGACAAAGUCACCCAAACAGAUGUCUUCCUCUGAGUUUCGAAGUGACAGCAGGAAGGGCUGAACCCUCACGUCUAUUUCUCCAAAGAUGGAGUGAGGCUCUGUCUCUGUGCUGUUAUUCUGUCCUCCCGUCCAUCUGA
Long non-coding RNA from Pan paniscus (pygmy chimpanzee), 331 nucleotides. Lineage: Eukaryota; Metazoa; Chordata; Mammalia; Primates; Hominidae. The record is from Ensembl.